This 433-nucleotide ribosomal RNA is filed under the name uncultured bacterium. RNAcentral's name for it is "partial 16S ribosomal RNA". It matches the Rfam family "Bacterial small subunit ribosomal RNA", at positions 30 to 507 of the family's 1533-position model. The record is from RNAcentral.
AGCGAACGCUGGCGGCAGGCUUAACACAUGCAAGUCGAGCGGGCCCUUCGGGCUUAGCGGCAGACGGGGGGGUGACACGUGGGAACGUACCCUUGGGUUCGGAAUAACGCUGGGAAACAAGCGCUAAUACCGGAUACGCCCUUUUGGGGAAAGGCUUGCUGCCGAAGGGUGGGCCCGGGACUGAUUAGCGGGUUGGGGGGGUAAUGGCCUACAAAGGGGACGAUCGGUAGCUGGUCUGAGAGGAUGAUCACCCACACUGGGACUGAGACACGGCCCAGACUCCUACGGGAGGCGGCAGUGGGGAAUAUUGGACAGCGGGCGCAAGCCUGAUCCAGCCCUGCCGCGUGAGUGAUGAAGGCCUUAGGGUUGUAAAGCUCUUUUGUCCGGGACGAUAAUGACGGUACCGGAAGAAUAAGCCCCGGCUAACUUCGUG